This 99-nucleotide long non-coding RNA is filed under the name Polistes fuscatus (common paper wasp). Its description in RNAcentral is "uncharacterized LOC122514165". The record is from RNAcentral. Lineage: Eukaryota; Metazoa; Arthropoda; Insecta; Hymenoptera; Vespidae.
CAGUUUAAAGGAUCUUUUAAUAAGCAAACAUAAUUAUCUUGUGAUCAAUCAUUAAACUGGAAGAAAGGAAAGAUACUUUUCAAUUCGAUAAGCAAAAUC